UUCAAGUGCAAUUGUGAGUUUCCGUAUCCAAUAUUUGACUAUCUAUCUUAUUUAAUUUUUUUUAUGAUUAAUACUUUUAUUGUUAUUAGAUGAUAAAUUAUAAAUAAUAUUUUAUGUGUGACUUUAUUUUUUAAUUUUUUUAUAAAAUUUUAAAUAAGAUGGAUGGUCAAAUGUUGAACACCAAAACUUACAACCACACUUAAA
Non-coding RNA from Oryza barthii, 204 nucleotides. The record is from Rfam. NCBI's taxonomy places the organism in Eukaryota, Viridiplantae, Streptophyta, Magnoliopsida, Poales, Poaceae.